GGCUCAUUGGUCUAGUGGUAUGAUUCUUGCUUUGGGUGUAGUAGGCCCCGGGUUCAAAUCCCGGAUGAGUCC
Daphnia pulex (common water flea) is the source of this 72-nucleotide non-coding RNA. Lineage: Eukaryota; Metazoa; Arthropoda; Branchiopoda; Diplostraca; Daphniidae. The record is from Rfam.